This 952-nucleotide ribosomal RNA is filed under the name uncultured soil bacterium. RNAcentral's name for it is "bacterial SSU rRNA". It matches the Rfam family "Bacterial small subunit ribosomal RNA", at positions 56 to 1000 of the family's 1533-position model. The record is from RNAcentral.
UGCAAGUCGAACGGCAGCACGGGAGCUUGCUCCUGGUGGCGAGUGGCGAACGGGUGAGUAAUGCAUCGGAACGUACCGAGUAAUGGGGGAUAACGCAGCGAAAGUUGUGCUAAUACCGCAUACGCCCUGAGGGGGAAAGUGGGGGAUCGCAAGACCUCACGUUAUUCGAGCGGCCGAUGUCUGAUUAGCUAGUUGGUGGGGUAAAGGCUUACCAAGGCGACGAUCAGUAGCGGGUCUGAGAGGAUGAUCCGCCACACUGGGACUGAGACACGGCCCAGACUCCUACGGGAGGCAGCAGUGGGGAAUUUUGGACAAUGGGGGCAACCCUGAUCCAGCCAUUCCGCGUGAGUGAAGAAGGCCUUCGGGUUGUAAAGCUCUUUCAGUUGGAACGAAACGGUACGCUCUAACAUAGCGUGCUAAUGACGGUACCGACAGAAGAAGCACCGGCUAACUACGUGCCAGCAGCCGCGGUAAUACGUAGGGUGCGAGCGUUAAUCGGAAUUACUGGGCGUAAAGCGUGCGCAGGCGGAUUGUUAAGCAAGAUGUGAAAUCCCCGGGCUUAACCUGGGAAUGGCAUUUUGAACUGGCAGUCUAGAGUGCGUCAGAGGGGGGUGGAAUUCCACGUGUAGCAGUGAAAUGCGUAGAUAUGUGGAGGAACACCAAUGGCGAAGGCAGCCCCCUGGGAUGACACUGACGCUCAUGUACGAAAGCGUGGGUAGCAAACAGGAUUAGAUACCCUGGUAGUCCACGCCCUAAACGAUGUCAACUGGUUGUUGGGGGAGUGAAAUCCCUUAGUAACGAAGCUAACGCGUGAAGUUGACCGCCUGGGGAGUACGGUCGCAAGAUUAAAACUCAAAGGAAUUGACGGGGACCCGCACAAGCGGUGGAUGAUGUGGAUUAAUUCGAUGCAACGCGAAAAACCUUACCUACCCUUGACAUGUCCGGAAUCCUG